RNAcentral lists this unclassified non-coding RNA (393 nucleotides) under soil metagenome. Its description in RNAcentral is "partial contains 5.8S ribosomal RNA, internal transcribed spacer 2, and large subunit ribosomal RNA". The stretch from base 1 to 122 matches the Rfam family "5.8S ribosomal RNA", at positions 35 to 154 of the family's 154-position model. The record is from RNAcentral.
GAUGAAGAACGCAGCGAAAUGCGAUACUUGGUGUGAAUUGCAGAAUCCCGUGAACCAUCGAGUCUUUGAACGCAAGUUGCGCCCGAAGCCACUAGGCCGAGGGCACGCCUGCCUGGGCGUCACACGUCGUUGCCCCCCCCCCAUCUACUCCUUCGGGAUUGCGGGGGGCGGAUGAUGGCCUCCCGUGCGCCUAGCCGCGCGGUUGGCAUAAAUACCAAGUCCUCGGCGACGCACGCCACGACAAUCGGUGGUUGCGAAACCUCGGUUGCCCGUCGUGUGCGUUCGUCGCGCAUCGAUGGCUCGAAAAAAUGCUCGGCUCCGGCUCGGCUUUCAACGCGACCCCAGGUCAGGCGGGGUUACCCGCUGAAUUUAAGCAUAUCAAUAAGCGGAGGA